AUUUCCAAGCAUCAGGUUGACGCGUACCCGACGCAACCGCUAGUAGACGGUAUUUUCGGUCAACAAAUGCAAAACCCUAGAAUUCAUUUUUUAGCCGCAGAGACACACCUAAGUUGUUCGGUCGAUAUAUAUAGCAAACCAAAUGAUACUCGUAAAUCUCUCUCUCGUGGGGAAGUGACGAGCAACUUCACACCGAGGCAUAUAUUUAAUCUCCAAAGUUUUAGGGGUGUGUUUAAACCAAGGGCGGAUCCAGUAUUUGGUGGGCUAAAUCAAAAUAUAUCAACCAAAAUCAACUGUUGUUUAAUUCAAUUCUAGUUAAUUAACAACGUUUCUUUAGACAAUUGACUGAUUAAGGCACAGAAAAUCCUAUUUGAGAAUCUACGAGUGGAAGCAGAGUGUGAGGUAGUUCAAGGCAAGCCCCUUUCAACACUAUGAAAUUCACUCAAAAGCAUGCUUUUUGUAAGUAUUUUAAUUUUCAAGAAGUAACUUUAGAGCUUUACCCUAUAUUAACUACUUUUGCUUGUCGAAGUUCUUGUUAUGAUUUUUAUUUUUUUAGUUCUGAAAAGAUUUUUAUCUUUAAAAAGCUUGGCAUUUUGAUAAAAAUUGUUUCAGAUUCAAUCUCUGCAGAUUUCUAAUCCAAUUCAGAUUCUUUUUUUUUUUUUUUUCAUAAAAAAUUUCACCAAAUAGGAUUUAGUUUGCAAAACAAGAAUUACAGAGCUUGAUUAGUUGAUUUAGAAAAAAAAUUAAAACAAAACCCAUACAUACAAGUUAGCAGUUGCAGAGAGAGAGAGAGAGGGGCAAGCUUGAGAGUUGAGAGACAGCGGCUGAAGCUUGCGAACGGCGAACCCGAACUGGAACAGUCAAUUGUCUAAGGAAACGUUGUUAUAUAUGGGUUUUGAACUUCUGAUUCUUGUAGAUUUUGUAGUUUGCAGUUGCAGAGAGAGAGAGAGAGAGGGGGCAAGUUCAGAGUUGAGAACGAUAUUUGAGAUGGAGGCUGAAAUGAUUUGUCCUAAAAAAUUUAUUUCCCUGGUGGCCCAUCAUCCAAGAGCCUAUAAAUUUUGAGGCCCGAAGCCUAUGUUGCCUUGGGUCAGGGCCGGCCCUGGGGUUAUUUGGCUUGGGCCUUUAUUUUAGUAUGGUGGCUGAGUUGACUGGGGCUUGAUUGGGUGGGCUAUUAAUAAGUUUUUUUCAUGUGGAUCUGUUCUUGGUUUAAACCAGAGCUGUGGUUCUUGCUACUCUGGUCUCCCCUUAUUUGGUACAUUUCCAUUAGAAAAUUAAUUUAUUUUGCUUUUAUGUAGUAGCUUUGUGGUCCGUUUGGUUGCCUAGAUAUUGAUAUUGCAUGAAAUUAAUAUUUAUACUAAUUUUAUAUAUAAACAGAGUUGGUUUGGCUUGUUUUAGAUCGUCUUCUUGGCAAACCAUACGAAUUCUACGAAGCAUAUGAUUAAUAUUGAUCUUUUGUCUUGAUGUCUUCCCUAAAACAAUUUUGUUUUUCAUAAGUUAUAUAUUUGCAGCAUUAGUUUGAUUGCAUUGGAUCUAUUAAUUUUGAUUAAAUGGUGGUCUUGGGACAGGCAAAAGAGACACUUGCUGCAGCAUGUAAUUUUGAUUAUGUUUUUAUUAUUCAAGGCUGUGACAUUUAGGCAAAGCAUGUAGUAAAGAUUGCAUUGUUACUUUUUUGUUUAUAGAGAAAUGGUAGGCGCAGUCGGUUGGCAACUAUGGUAGCAACUCGUUGCACAAGUAAAUGGAAGCUUUACACUAUUUGAGUAAUUUAUUGUAAACAAAAAAUUAAAUUGAGAUGCCCUUUCAUGCUAUUCUUAGGUGGUUUGUGACUGUAUUUUUGUCAAUCACAAAAUAUACCAAAUGUGUCGGCAUAUUGUGAUUGGCUGAGACCACAUGAUUACGUACUACCUAAUACUUUCUAGAUCCUCAAUAUCUUUAUAUACCUAAUACUUUCUUGAUCAUCAAUAUCUUUAUAUAUGAAACUUUUUCAAGAUCUACCGAUGGCAUUUUUUUUUUUUUUUUUUUUUUUGAUAAGUAAGUUCUACACAUGGCAUUUUUUUUUGAGUUUAUCCACCACAUCAAAGGAAUAAAAAACCCUCAAGCUUGACAGUUCAGCUUAACAAAUAAACCCCUCAGGCUUCAGUUCAGCAACUUCACUUAUUUUUCAUUACUUUUAUACAAGAAAAGUACUAAAACACUAAAAAAAAUAAUAAUAAUAAAAUUAAUGUUACUAUUAUUAAUAGUAGCGUGGAGUGGAUAGAUAAAGGCUAUAGUCUCUAGUUUACUUUCGUCUCUAGUUUACUUUUCUUUAUCUUUGAUUAUUAAGUUUAUUUUUAAGUUUUAAAAAUUAUUUUCAUUUAAAUUUCUACUUUUGUGGUCUAAUUUUCUAUUUUAUUUGGAGAGUGAAAUAGUGUGAGAUUUUUGUUGCAUAUGGUAGGAAAUAAGUUUUUAUUAUUUGGUACAGGAGAAAUUGAAAGGAAGAGUUGAAGAGAAUAAAGGAAAAAUAUAAAUUAAAUACAUUAGUUAAAAUGUUUAUCUCUUUACUAUGAUUAUUUACAACAUCCAAGCAUUAGGUUGACGAAUACCCGAAAACAAUCGCUAGUAGGCGGUAUUUUCGGUCAACCAUUGCAAAACCCUAUAAUGCAUUUUUAAGCUGCAUACACAUAGCUAAGUUGUUCUGUCUAUAUAUAGCGAACCAACUGAUACCUGUAAGUCUCUCUCUCAUCGGGGAAGUGAUGAGCAACUUCAUACCGGUAUGUCAUAAUUCAUAUAUAUAUGUUUAUAUAUGUAUGUAUGUAUAUAUUUGUGUAUAUUUUGACUCUUCUUUCAGCUUCCGAGGCAUAGAUCUGAUGAUCUGUUUCUUGAUGACUUUGUUCUAGAGGCAUAUAUAUAAUCUCCAAAGUUUAUGGAGUUUAAACCAGAGCUGUGGUUCUUGCUACUCUGGUCUCCCCUUAUUUGGUACAUUUCCAUUAGUAGCUUUGUGUUACCUAGAUAUUGCAUGAAAUUAAUAUUUAUAUUAAUGUUAUAUCUAAACAGAGUUGGGUUGUCUUUGUUUUACAUCCCCAUUAAUUUUCUAAGUCUUCUUGGUAACCAUAUGAAGUAUAAGAUUAAUAUGGAUCAUUUGUCUUGAUGUCUACCCUAAAACCAUCAUGUUUCUCAUAAGUUUAUAUUUGCAGCAUUAGUUUGAUUGCAUUGGAUCUAAUAGUUUUGAUUAAUGCCUCUCUUGGGACAGGCAAAAGAGGGACUUGCUUCAGCAUGUGAUUUUGAUUAUGUUUUUAUUAUUCAAGGUUGUGACAUUUAGGCAAAGCAUGUAGUAAAGAUUGCAUUGUUACUUUUUUGUUUAUAGAGAAAUGUUAGGUGCAGUUGUUUGGCGACUAUAGUAGCAACUUGCCGCUCAAGUGAAUCGAAGCUUUACACUAUUCGAGUCUUUUAUUGUAAACAAAAAAUUAAACUGAGAUGCCCUUACAUGCUAUUCUUAGAAUCCUCAGUGAGAAAUUAUUAGGUGGUUUAAGACCAUAUGAUCUUUGCCAAUCACAGGAUGCACCAAAUGUGUCGGCAUCUUCUGAUUGGCCAGGACCACAUGAUUCCGGACUGCCUAAUAAUUUCUACAUCCUCAAUCUUUAUAUAUAAAACUAUUUGUUAGGCCAAUUUGUCUAUCUCAAGGAUUCUUUGCCCUUUGAUGUAGUGGAUAGGACUCACAUUUGAGUUUAUUCACCAGGGAUAAGAACCCCCUUAACUUGACAAUAAUCAACUUCACUUAUUUUUCAUUAGUCAUACAAGAAAAGUGCUAAAACACUAGCAAAAAUAAUAAUAAAAUUAAUGUUUUACAUAAUUGUAUUAUUAAUAGUAGGCUAAUAGCAUAGAGUGGAUAGAGAUGAUAAAGCAAAUGAGUAUUAAAUCCAUCCGUACACAAAUAUUCUAGGAAUAAUGACUAUUUUAAUGUGUUAUUUUUGAAGUGAAGACAUUUUAUGCAGUUAUUUGCAACCUUAUUUGACUAAUGCCAUGCACUCCUACAUUAAAAAAAUUUAUCAUAAUUCCUGAAAAUCACAUUAAAUGCCAUAGUCUUCUAAACUAUUUUAUGUUUGAUAAUAUCUUUUAGAAAUAAUAUUUGAUUAUUUAUUGUAAAUUUAAAACCCUGUUAUUGGAUUUGGUUGGAAGGUAGAAUUUAGAGAGAGAGUGAAGAGUUAAACACAGAAUGAACUUGUGUUGAGCUAUCCUUUGCAAUGUUAAUAAUGGUUGCAGUAUAUUUAAUUUAUCAAAUUGUAUGUGCAUAUCAAUUUUGAACUUUUGUUUUAUUCAUAAACUAAGUAAGGUGCUUGUGUUCUUAACUGGUGUUGCGAGUGCUGCUGUUGUUAAGUGAUUGUGGCUAGGAUUUCUUUGAUUCAUAAUGCAAAAUUCUAUGAAACAUCAUUGCGUUUUUAGAUUUGUGCUUUACCUGACAUUGUGGAUUUUAAUUUUUUUAAGAAACUAAGCCUAUGUUAGUCUCAAAGUCACUACAUAAACUGUUUGAAAAAGGAUCGGGAUACAUAAAAUUGAAAGUCCUCGAAAUUCUCUCAAGUAGAAUCAUUUUGUGUUUAUCCAUUUAGUCUUAAUGUUGUCGUCACACAAAUGCCUCUCCUUUCGGCUGUAAGGACAAAGAUUUGCGUAGGGUAGUAACACUCAGAUAGGUGUGGCGGGUUUCUGUAUCCAUUCAUUCCGAAUCAAAAUGAUCUUUGUCUAUUUAUGUUUUAAGAAUAUAUGUUACAUGGACUCAGAUGUUUUUGUAUUUUUUUUUUUUUUUUGUUUUUUCCUUUUCCGAGUAAUAGAAAGUGUUUUUUUUUUUAACCCAUUUUUCUAAGCACUAGCUCGAAUUGUACCCUAGCACAGCUCCUAGCAGACUGUAAGUAUAGUUUAUUUUAAAAGUUUAUUUUACACUGUAGUUGAAUCAAGGAGAAUAAUUACAUACCCUCUAAAUUAUUAUUUCAAAGAACCAAAUUAUCUUUAAAUAAAAUAGUAGACAAUAUCAUUAUAAUAAAAAAAUGUAUAUUAAUUUUUUUUUUGAGAUACAAACCUCGGUUCCACAUUAGAUGUUCAUAUAGAGAAAUUGUAGUUUUUGAGGGGAUAUGUAUUUAAAGCAUUGUCUCUUUUUAAAAUUACUUCUAAUUUAAAUAUAUAUAAUUAGAAAGUUUGAAAUUUUUUAAAAAGGUAAAGACAAUGAUGGAAAUUUAGAAUUUAUUUGCUUUAAUUUUUUGAAGAGGAUAAUUAUUUUGGGACAUGUGAAAGAGAGAAAAAUGAAUUACGGGUGGAGUAUUUCAUUUUAGUUGACAGUAUCAUUUCUGCGGCCUGUAACGGCGUUCUUGAUUCAAAUUAUAAUAAAUUAAUGUUUUUGUGUUUGUGAAUUAUUGUAAAAUUAAAGGAAUCAACUCAAACAUGGCUUUAAUUCAAUGAUUUUGGGGGGUAAAUACGUGGAAAUAUUUGUUUUUAUAAAUUGGCUGUUCAAAUUUAGAUAUUGGCUUCUAUUGAAUUUAAUGUGCAAAUUUCGUGCCAUAUCUUGAUUAAUUAUAAAAUCAAAAUUUCUUCCAAAGUAUGAUUAAUUAUUAAAGUAUGGUUUAAAUUGUUCAAAAUAGCUGUUACUGUAGCAAUAUACUUUUUAAUUAAUAUUAAAUUGUUGGAAAUAACUGUUACUGUAGCAAUAUACUAUUUAAUUAAUUUGGCUGAAAGGCUGGAAUAUUUUUUUGCUCCUCAAUUCAAUUGUAAGUUUUAUGUACAACAAUAAAUAAAUAAUAAAAAUAAACAAAUUUUUUUUUUCAAAAUCUGUUAUAAUGUUUCAAGAUUUCUAUAAAAUUUCGGUGCCUUGUAGUUAUGUCCGUUUAUGUUUUGUCAGUCUCAUACUUGAAUAAAAAAGGAAAAGGAAAGAGCAUGUAAAAUUAACAUUUUGUUUUCCCUUGGUUUUCUUGAUUUAUUGUCUUCAUUCCUAUUUUUAGUGGUAAUAACAAUAGAGAGUAGUUUUCUUUAUUUAAAAAAAAAAACACAAAACAAAAGAAAACAAUUUUUAUAAAUGGAAAUUACUAAUUCUUCCUUCUUUCUCUCUCCUCUUUCCUCAAUUUUGAAUGGAUAGAAAAUAUAAAGCAAUAUAAAGCAAGUAGUCAUUUUCAACCUUUUCAAAAAUUAUAAAAUCCUUUCCCUUCCAACAACCAAAAAAAAAAAACAAAACGUGUCACUCAUUCAUCUUUAAAUAGGUAUGAGGAGAAAAUAUCUAGAAAAACAAAAUGGAGAAAUCUUAAUUUUACAUCUUCUAGUUUUUUUUUCUUGAUUUUGUACUUCGUUAAAAAAUUCUUUAUUUCUAGUUUUAUUUCAACAUGAGACCAAUAUAGAAUUGAAAUUUUUUCAGAACAUUCUUAAAGAAUCUGAAAAUAAAUUUUGUUUUCUUACUUCCUCCCUCUUUUCCCUUCCCUCCAAUUAAACACGAAAAAAUUCUUUUAUCCUCACUCUCAUCCAUCCCUUCUCAAUCAUUCUAUCCAAUCAAACAUAACAUAAAUUCAUCCAUUAAACAAAAUAUGUACAAAACAAUGACUAAAAUUUUAUAGGAAUCGGUAAAAGUCACGAUUGAUAUGUACUUAUUUUUUUAGUUAAAGGGUAAGUUUGUAUAAAUGAAGAAAAAAUGUACAUGGGGUAUCAAAGGACAACACAAAGCCCGAAGGCAACAAACAGAACAAGAGUUGAGAAGAACAAAAACUAAUAGUCAUCGCAUAGACCAAACCAAAAAGAGCAAAAACUAAAAGUUGCAUUCAUG
Cornus florida is the source of this 6766-nucleotide long non-coding RNA. RefSeq lists it as uncharacterized. NCBI's taxonomy places the organism in Eukaryota, Viridiplantae, Streptophyta, Magnoliopsida, Cornales, Cornaceae. The transcript has 2 exons. The record is from RefSeq and is a predicted model, not a curated record.